AAUUCUUGAAUGUUAAAAAAUCAUUUUUUUUGGAAAAUCUGAAACACCUACAACAAACGCAUGCUAUUUUCAAUUCUUGAAUGAUUUGGUUUGUAAUUCACUAUCACCAUCGCUACUGCAAUCUUUCAUUAUCCAUCUUUUUAAAUUUGAAUUCUAUUUCAUUCUAAUUCAUAAUCGAUUCAUUCAACCCAAUUUGUUUUCUGUUUGCGACACUCUUUCGUUCUCUGUCAUUCAUCAUAACGCUACGCUAGAAAACCUCACAACACAACACGUUCGUGUAACUCGCUCACUCGACUCGCCCCGUAACUCGUUCUCUUCGUUUUCCAUUUUUUCAUCACGCCGAAGGCUAAAGCGGAUUCCAAACCCGCUGAUAACAGUUGCUUCCACUACUUGGGUUAAUUUUGAUGAUAUGGAAGCUAUUAAAGAAAAAGUUUCUUAUGCAAAGUAAAAUGGAUUACUCGGUUACAAUGUUUUCAAAGUUGGGAAUGAUGACAAUUGGGUCCUUUCCAAGGCAGUUUUGACAUAGACAAUGGACCUAAAGCUGCCUAGUAUAUUCAGGAAGCAGUGGCUAAGUGGCAUCAACUGCGGCCAUGGUGUUUGAUUUUUAAAGUAUUUUUACAACAAAGAAUUUUUUUUAAUGAGCUCAUGAAGUAUAUGAAGAUCAUCAUAACAGAAGGUUGCUGAAAUUGUUCUGCUUAGACUACUGCAAUUCUCUUAGGAAUAGUAGUAUUUUGCUACUACCACCAAGUGACCAAUAUUAAAAGAAUAAUAUACAAACUGAGGAUAUAUUUAUCAGCAGGUGAAGAAGAUCAUUAUGCAAAUGGUUCUGAUUUAUUAAUAUUCGGUUAUCUCACAAUUAAAGUAGCAAAAAAUAACUUCUCAGAAGAAAAUAAGUUAGGAAAGGGUGGAUUUGGAGCUGUGUACAAGGUAACGUUUCGAAAUUCAUCUUGUGAAAUGUUUCGUUCAAAUAGGAACUUUGAAAUGUAAAUUGAAGUAUGAAUUGGAUAGUAAUGAUGCAAUCUUCCAGUAUGAAUUUCAUUUUUUUUAGAUGCAAAAUU
This is a long non-coding RNA of Trifolium pratense (red clover), 1058 nucleotides long. RefSeq lists it as uncharacterized. The transcript is spliced from 6 exons. NCBI's taxonomy places the organism in Eukaryota, Viridiplantae, Streptophyta, Magnoliopsida, Fabales, Fabaceae. The record is from RefSeq and is a predicted model, not a curated record.